UACAGAGGUGGCAAGCGUUGUUCGGAAUUACUGGGCGUAAAGGGCGCGUAGGCGGUCUUUUAAGUCUUGUGUGAAAUCCCUCGGCUCAACUGAGGAACUGCACGGGAUACUGGAAGACUUGAGUUCGGGAGAGGGAAGCGGAAUUCCGGGUGUAGCGGUGAAAUGCGUAGAUAUCCGGAGGAACACCGGUGGCGAAGGCGGCUCUCUGGGACGGUACUGACGCUGAGACGCGAAAGCGUGGGGAGCGAACAGG
RNAcentral lists this ribosomal RNA (253 nucleotides) under uncultured bacterium. RNAcentral's name for it is "partial 16S ribosomal RNA". It matches the Rfam family "Bacterial small subunit ribosomal RNA", at positions 524 to 776 of the family's 1533-position model. The record is from RNAcentral.